This 475-nucleotide ribosomal RNA is filed under the name uncultured bacterium. Its description in RNAcentral is "SSU rRNA". It matches the Rfam family "Bacterial small subunit ribosomal RNA", at positions 26 to 518 of the family's 1533-position model. The record is from RNAcentral.
AGGACGAACGCUGGCGGCGUGCUUUACACAUGCAAGUCGAGCGGUAAGGCCCUUCGGGGUACACGAGCGGCGAACGGGUGAGUAACACGUGGGUGACCUGCCCCUCACUCUGGGAUAAGCCCGGGAAACUGGGUCUAAUACCGGAUAUGACCACAUGUCGCAUGGUGUGUGGUGGAAAGCGUUUAGUGGUGGGGGAUGGACCCGCGGCCUAUCAGCUUGUUGGUGGGGUAAUGGCCUACCAAGGCGACGACGGGUAGCCGGCCUGAGAGGGCGAUCGGCCACACUGGGACUGAGACACGGCCCAGACUCCUACGGGAGGCAGCAGUGGGGAAUAUUGCACAAUGGGCGGAAGCCUGAUGCAGCGACGCCGCGUGAGGGAUGACGGCCUUCGGGUUGUAACCUCUUUCAGUACCGACGAAGCGAGAGUGACGGUAGGUACAGAAGAAGCACCGGCCAACUACGCGCCAGCAGCCGC